RNAcentral lists this ribosomal RNA (520 nucleotides) under uncultured Pleosporales. RNAcentral describes it as "eukaryotic LSU rRNA". The stretch from base 155 to 308 matches the Rfam family "5.8S ribosomal RNA". The record is from RNAcentral. Lineage: Eukaryota; Fungi; Ascomycota; Dothideomycetes; Pleosporales.
GGAGGAUCAUUAUCGUAGGGCUUCGGCCCUGUCGAGAUAGAACCCUUGCCUUUUUGAGUACCUUUCGUUUCCUCGGCAGGCUCGCCUGCCAAUGGGGACCACAAAAAACACUUUGCAGUACCUGUAACAGUCUGAACAAACAAACAAAAAUUAAAACUUUCAACAACGGAUCUCUUGGUUCUGGCAUCGAUGAAGAACGCAGCGAAAUGCGAUAAGUAGUGUGAAUUGCAGAAUUCAGUGAAUCAUCGAAUCUUUGAACGCACAUUGCGCCCUUUGGUAUUCCUUAGGGCAUGCCUGUUCGAGCGUCAUUUAAACCUUCAAGCUAAGCUUGGUGUUGGGUGACUGUCCGCUUCACGGCGGACUCGCCUCAAAAUUAUUGGCGGCCGGUACAUUGGCUUCGAGCGCAGCAGAAACGCGAACUCGGGCCCGUCGUAUUGGCUCCCAGAAGCUAUCUUCACAAUGUUGACCUCGGAUCAGGUAGGGAUACCCGCUGAACUUAAGCAUAUCAAUAAGCGGAGGA